AUAACUUCGAAUGUUCGGCGAGUCACUUUUCUUCAAUCGGGUUGUUGUGCUUUGAACUCCCACUCCCGGUUCCCCGAACCCUCGAAUCCGCCGGUUAUAUUAAACGAGUUAUAGAUUAAAAAAUACACACUCGAAACUAGUAACUUUGCAACGAGUACCUCGUACCUAGGAUCUCGGUGUUAUUGUUUGUACUUGUGUUUUUUUUUAAACCGCCGCGGCCGCUUGUCGAUUAAUCGACGUGACGGACCGACGGCUGCGCCGGAACAAUUAAUGAAAUACUCUUUAUUGCCUUUACGGGUGUCCCCUUAUACAGCGACGGUUUCCUAACGGGAGCCCGAUGACGACUAAAAAUCCGAGAUUUCUGCGCGGUAUCUCCGCCAUUAUUACGCACUCUAUACGCCACCACAUUCCUACGGCAUUUCAGCGAUCCCGGCGACGGCGGUUCCGUGUACUCGACAUUUCCUCGAGAUAUUUGACAUUUUCCUUGGGGUUUGUGCGCAGCGAAAUUUCUGUUCUGUAACGACUCAAAAUAGGCAACGACAUUGUUUACUACGCGUGUGUUAUCCUGUGCUGUCCGCAAUAUCAACGGAUGCGAGUUUCACACAAUUGUUAAUUGAUUUCAAUGCGUCGCCGCGUACGUUUGAUUCGGAAGUUAAAUUGUCAUUAUAAACCGAUUUACCUUUUAUGUAUUUACAUCAGCCGAGUAAAAUAUGUUUACUUUUUAGGUAGGUACU
Molecule: non-coding RNA, 734 nt
Organism: Cinara cedri
Lineage: Eukaryota; Metazoa; Arthropoda; Insecta; Hemiptera; Aphididae
Source: the annotation of a GenBank genome assembly